RNAcentral lists this unclassified non-coding RNA (374 nucleotides) under soil metagenome. RNAcentral's name for it is "partial contains internal transcribed spacer 2 and large subunit ribosomal RNA". The stretch from base 1 to 120 matches the Rfam family "5.8S ribosomal RNA", at positions 35 to 154 of the family's 154-position model. The record is from RNAcentral.
GAUGAAGAACGCAGUGAAAUGAGAUAAUUAAUGUGAAUUGCAGAAUUCCGUGAAUCAUCGAGUCUUUGAACGCACAUUGCGCCUCAUGGCAUUCCGUGAGGCAUGCCCAUCUCAGCGUUAGAAAAUAUUCUCAAAUUUUAGUUUUGUGCUAAAAUUUGGAUCAUGUCAAGGAAGCUAUUACUAUUAUUGUGAUCGCUCUUUGGAAAUUGAUAGGUCUUUGAGUUGCUACUCAUAGAACGUGAUGAAUCUUUCUUCGUUCUAUUGUAAUUCACUCUGGUAGUCCUAAAACUUGUAUGCCUGUGGCAUAUCUUGUAAUUUGACCUGAGAUUGGGUAGGGAUACCCGCUGAACUUAAGCAUAUCAAUAAGCGGAGGA